GACGAACGCUGGCGGCGUGCUUAACACAUGCGAGUCGAACGGAAAGGCCCUGCUUUUGUGGGGUGCUCGAGUGGCGAACGGGUGAGUAACACGUGAGUAACCUGCCCUUGACUUUGGGAUAACUUCAGGAAACUGGGGCUAAUACCGGAUAGGAGCUCCUGCUGCAUGGUGGGGGUUGGAAAGUUUCGGCGGUUGGGGAUGGACUCGCGGCUUAUCAGCUUGUUGGUGGGGUAGUGGCUACCAAGGCUUUGACGGGUAGCCGGCCUGAGAGGGUGACCGGCCACAUUGGGACUGAGAUACGGCCCAGACUCCUACGGGAGGCAGCAGUGGGGAAUAUUGCACAAUGGGCGGAAGCCUGAUGCAGCAACGCCGCGUGCGGGAUGACGGCCUUCGGGUUGUAAACCGCUUUCGCCUGUGACGAAGCGUGAGUGACGGUAAUGGGUAAGGAAGCACCGGCUAACUACGUG
RNAcentral lists this ribosomal RNA (467 nucleotides) under uncultured bacterium. RNAcentral's name for it is "partial 16S ribosomal RNA". It matches the Rfam family "Bacterial small subunit ribosomal RNA", at positions 28 to 507 of the family's 1533-position model. The record is from RNAcentral.